This 253-nucleotide ribosomal RNA is filed under the name uncultured bacterium. RNAcentral describes it as "partial 16S ribosomal RNA". It matches the Rfam family "Bacterial small subunit ribosomal RNA", at positions 524 to 776 of the family's 1533-position model. The record is from RNAcentral.
UACAGAGGGGGCAAGCGUUGUUCGGAAUUACUGGGCGUAAAGGGCGCGUAGGCGGCCCGCUAAGUCGAACGUGAAAUCCCCGAGCUCAACUCGGGAACUGCGUCCGAUACUGGUGGGCUUGAAUCCGGGAGAGGGAUGCGGAAUUCCAGGUGUAGCGGUGAAAUGCGUAGAUAUCUGGAGGAACACCGGUGGCGAAGGCGGCAUCCUGGACCGGCAUUGACGCUGAGACGCGAAAGCGUGGGGAGCAAACAGG